Molecule: ribosomal RNA, 577 nt
Filed under: uncultured Lactobacillus sp.
Lineage: Bacteria; Bacillati; Bacillota; Bacilli; Lactobacillales; Lactobacillaceae
Description: bacterial SSU rRNA
Rfam family: Bacterial small subunit ribosomal RNA
Source: RNAcentral
AGAGUUUGAUCCUGGCUCAGGACGAACGCUGGCGGCGUGCCUAAUACAUGCAAGUCGAACGCACUCUCGUUAGAUUGAAGAAGCUUGCUUCUGAUUGAUAACAUUUGAGUGAGUGGCGGACGGGUGAGUAACACGUGGGUAACCUGCCCUAAAGUGGGGGAUAACAUUUGGAAACAGAUGCUAAUACCGCAUAAAACCUAGCACCGCAUGGUGCAAGGUUGAAAGAUGGUUUCGGCUAUCACUUUAGGAUGGACCCGCGGUGCAUUAGUUAGUUGGUGAGGUAAAGGCUCACCAGGACCGUGAUGCAUAGCCGACCUGAGAGGGUAAUCGGCCACACUGGGACUGAGACACGGCCCAGACUCCUACGGGAGGCAGCAGUAGGGAAUCUUCCACAAUGGACGAAAGUCUGAUGGAGCAACGCCGCGUGAGUGAAGAAGGUUUUCGGAUCGUAAAACUCUGUUGUUGGAGAAGAACGUAUUUGAUAGUAACUGAUCAGGUAGUGACGGUAUCCAACCAGAAAGCCACGGCUAACUACGUGCCAGCAGCCGCGGUAAUACGUAGGUGGCAAGCGUUGUCC